RNAcentral lists this ribosomal RNA (553 nucleotides) under [Curtobacterium] plantarum. RNAcentral describes it as "bacterial SSU rRNA". It matches the Rfam family "Bacterial small subunit ribosomal RNA", at positions 83 to 633 of the family's 1533-position model. The record is from RNAcentral. Lineage: Bacteria; Pseudomonadati; Pseudomonadota; Gammaproteobacteria; Enterobacterales; Erwiniaceae.
CUUGGGUGACGAGUGGCGGACGGGUGAGUAAUGUCUGGGGAUCUGCCCGAUAGAGGGGGAUAACCACUGGAAACGGUGGCUAAUACCGCAUAACGUCGCAAGACCAAAGAGGGGGACCUUCGGGCCUCUCACUAUCGGAUGAACCCAGAUGGGAUUAGCUAGUAGGCGGGGUAAUGGCCCACCUAGGCGACGAUCCCUAGCUGGUCUGAGAGGAUGACCAGCCACACUGGAACUGAGACACGGUCCAGACUCCUACGGGAGGCAGCAGUGGGGAAUAUUGCACAAUGGGCGCAAGCCUGAUGCAGCCAUGCCGCGUGUAUGAAGAAGGCCUUCGGGUUGUAAAGUACUUUCAGCGGGGAGGAAGGCGAUGGGGUUAAUAACCCUGUCGAUUGACGUUACCCGCAGAAGAAGCACCGGCUAACUCCGUGCCAGCAGCCGCGGUAAUACGGAGGGUGCAAGCGUUAAUCGGAAUUACUGGGCGUAAAGCGCACGCAGGCGGUCUGUUAAGUCAGAUGUGAAAUCCCCGGGCUUAACCUGGGAACUGCAUUGAAAC